GCUGAAACCCUAGGGAUUACACUGAAAACCCUACGCCCAAUUUUCUUUCUUUUCUUCUUUUUCUCUCGAAAGGUUUUGGACCUUCACCUCACGUAUAAGACUUCCUCAUGCCCCACUCUCUUUCUCAAAAUUUUUCUAUGCAUGCCCCACCUCCCUAUUUCUUUUAAAACAGUUCAAAACAUGUCCUAUCCGCGUGAGAGGAUAAAGACAAGUGGUUACACAUUUGAAUUCAAAUCAAAUUUGAAUUCAAAUGAAAACCAACUCAUCCCUAUCCACUUAUGGUGUGAGAAGAGAAGGGC
Molecule: long non-coding RNA, 299 nt
Filed under: Elaeis guineensis (African oil palm)
Lineage: Eukaryota; Viridiplantae; Streptophyta; Magnoliopsida; Arecales; Arecaceae
Description: long non-coding RNA (EGUI_LNC019712)
Source: RNAcentral